RNAcentral lists this non-coding RNA (328 nucleotides) under Pan troglodytes (chimpanzee). Lineage: Eukaryota; Metazoa; Chordata; Mammalia; Primates; Hominidae. The record is from RNAcentral.
UUAGAGGAAGUGGAUCAAUUCCUCAAAAAUCGCAAGCUGCCAGAGCUGCUGGCUGAAAAAUCACAAGAAAUGUUACACAAGUUAGACAAUGUGACCUUCACCCAUUAUCUUCAUGUUCCUGGAAUGUGUGAUGCAAAGAACCAUCUACAGCCAGUCAAUAGCUUAUGUUAUUUUAAUGAACCAGUGUGGCAACUUGCCCCUUCUUUUUUUCUUUCAAACCCACUUGUAACUGCUGCUAACUGGAGCAUAUGUUCAGAGCCACCUGAAUCUACGUCUCCCAGGAUGCCGUCCUCAAACGUGGCCCAAAUAAACCCUCCACGUGUACUAA